Non-coding RNA from Triticum urartu, 1771 nucleotides. NCBI's taxonomy places the organism in Eukaryota, Viridiplantae, Streptophyta, Magnoliopsida, Poales, Poaceae. The record is from RefSeq and is a predicted model, not a curated record.
AAAGCUACAGCGUGGGAAUAUUUAAAGCAGAGAUGCCGACAUGAUUUUGUGUGUGUGUAUUCUUAAAGACGAGCAUCGUAGGCCAGAGUCAAGUCAACUCAUUCUUGUCUGCGCAGAUCUCGUUGGCUUGGCUUCUACAAAUCAAGCUGAGGCUAGCAGGGAAGCGAUUCUUCUCUGGAGCCUCAUCGUCCCCGGCCGUUUCCUUCUUCUCUUGGCUCUUCACAGCUGCUACUUCUAGAGAGGGAGGAUUCGAUUCCCCCCAAGUGUUCCAUCUUCUCCAGCAGCUCAGCUCAAAACUUGUGCUCAAUCAUCAGAAAUGGCGACGGGGGCUAGCGGAGGGCAGCCGAGCGUUCUGAGCACAUUGCCCAAGGAUCUGCCGCUAGAUUUUCUGAAGACUAUCACUGAUCAGUUCUCACCAGAGCGUAUACUUGGUACAGGCGCAUUUGGAACUGUUUAUAUGGGGAUUGCGCCAGACGGGCAAAAAAUUGCGGUGAAGAAACUUGCCGAAAAUACACCAAUCGCGCGUGACAAAGUAUUUACUAACGAGGUUCAGAAUAUUAUGGCUCUGCAACUGCAUCAUGAGAAUGUAGUAAAGUUGGUCGGCUACUGCCAUGAAGCCCAAAAGAAAGUGGUGCAGAACAAUGGAAGAUAUAUUGUUGCAGACAUUGUUGAAAGUUUACUCUGCUACGAGUACUUGCCGCAGGGGAACCUUCAGAAGAAUCUUUUUGAGGUAUCCUGUGUAAUGGAUUGGGACACACGCUUCAGAAUCAUCAAGGGGAUCUGCCAAGGUUUAGCCUUCCUACACAGCAUUAACAUUGUCCAUAUGGAUCUUAAACCUGAGAAUAUACUGCUGGAUGAUAAGAUGACCCCGAAAAUUGCGGAUUUCGGUCUCUCGAGGCUCUUUGGUCAAGAACAAACACGGAUGAGAACACAAAAUGUUGUUGGAUCAUAUGGAUACAUAGCUCCAGAAUAUCUAUACAGAGGCGAGAUCUCCACCAAGUCAGACAUAUAUAGUCUUGGCCUAUUAAUCUUGGAGACCACCACAGUUGAGAAAAAUUGUUCCAACAAUGAACCAUCUGUGACGCAAUUUAUAAAAAGCGUACAUGAUAACUGGACGGAUGAGCACAUAGUGUCUCAGUGGCCACAUCUUGAUGGGGAUCGCUUUCAGCAGAUAAAAGUAUGCAUCAAAAUUGGACUAGAAUGUGUGGAGAUCGAUCGGCAGAAGAGACCUUCCAUAGAAGAGAUUGUCGAUAGGCUCAACGGACUAUGGUCAACUGGAAGUUGAAUGCCAUAUGCGGUAUGAAAUUACCUGGGCACACAAUGGCUUUCUAUUGUUAUGAUUUUGUUAGCCCCCACCUCAAUAUAAUAUUGCUCAAUGGCCCAGAACCAUUUAGUUCGUGAUGCAUUUCAGCUGGUGGUAACAUUCGUACACUAUAUAUGGAACUUCAGAUCUCCAGUUUCCACGGAGCAUGAAACUUCGGUCUUUUCAGCAGAGAUAUGGAAGAUGGAACAACAUGCUUCAUUGUUGCUACAAUGAUUUUGAAAUAAUUCUUUCUGAUGUGCGUCAUUGUGGAUCUUGUUUAAAAUACUUUCUUUUACCCAACUACGUAGUUAUUUCUUAAUGUCAGUACCAAUAAGGACACGACUAGGCAGCGGCGCCCCAGGGCCGAUUUCCCAUGUGGCGUCAUAUUUCCUCUUCUCUCUUGCGUGUAUGCAACAAUAUAUUGGCAUGACAUCAACAAUGAUUUCUUUGAUUUUGAAUUUUUGAAAA